This 496-nucleotide ribosomal RNA is filed under the name uncultured bacterium. Its description in RNAcentral is "partial 16S ribosomal RNA". It matches the Rfam family "Bacterial small subunit ribosomal RNA", at positions 29 to 507 of the family's 1533-position model. The record is from RNAcentral.
ACGAACGCUGGCGGCGUGCCUAAUACAUGCACGUUGAGCGCUGAAGGUUGGUACUUGUACCGACUGGAUGAGCAGCGAACGGGUGAGUAACGCGUGGGGAAUCUGCCUUUGAGCGGGGGACAACAUUUGGAAACGAAUGCUAAUACCGCAUAAAAACUUUAAACACAAGUUUUAAGUUUGAAAGAUGCAAUUGCAUCACUCAAAGAUGAUCCCGCGUUGUAUUAGCUAGUUGGUGAGGUAAAGGCUCACCAAGGCGAUGAUACAUAGCCGACCUGAGAGGGGUAUCGGCCACAAUGGGGCUGGGACACGGCCCAAACUCCUACGGGAGGCAGCAGGAGGGAAACUUCGGCAAUGGACGAAAGUCUGACCGAGCAACGCCGCGUGAGUGAAGAAGGUUUUCGGAUCGUAAAACUCUGUUGGUAGGGAAGAACGUUGGUGAGAGUGGAAAGCUCAUCAAGUGACGGUAACUACCCAGAAAGGGACGGCUAACUACGUG